This 441-nucleotide ribosomal RNA is filed under the name uncultured Barnesiella sp. RNAcentral describes it as "bacterial SSU rRNA". It matches the Rfam family "Bacterial small subunit ribosomal RNA", at positions 355 to 794 of the family's 1533-position model. Lineage: Bacteria; Pseudomonadati; Bacteroidota; Bacteroidia; Bacteroidales; Barnesiellaceae. The record is from RNAcentral.
UGAGGAAUAUUGGUCAAUGGUCGGAAGACUGAACCAGCCAUGCCGCGUGCAGGAAGGAGGUCCUAUGGAUUGUAAACUGCUUUUGUCGGGGAGUAACGUGCGGGACGGGUCCCGUAUUGAGAGUACCCGAAGAAAAAGCAUCGGCUAACUCCGUGCCAGCAGCCGCGGUAAUACGGAGGAUGCGAGCGUUAUCCGGAUUUAUUGGGUUUAAAGGGUGCGCAGGCGGCGCGCCAAGUCAGCGGUCAAAGUUCCGGGCUCAACCCGGUGUCGCCGUUGAAACUAGCGUGCUCGAGUGCGUGCGAGGAAGGCGGAAUGCGUUGUGUAGCGGUGAAAUGCAUAGAUAUGACGCAGAACUCCGAUUGCGAAGGCAGCUUUCCAGCGCGCUACUGACGCUGAGGCACGAAAGCGUGGGGAUCGAACAGGAUUAGAUACCCUGGUAGU